Molecule: ribosomal RNA, 856 nt
Filed under: Staphylococcus sp. MOLA 418
Lineage: Bacteria; Bacillati; Bacillota; Bacilli; Caryophanales; Staphylococcaceae
Also listed under: 1 other name
Description: bacterial SSU rRNA
Rfam family: Bacterial small subunit ribosomal RNA
Source: RNAcentral
GGCGGCGUGCCUAAUACAUGCAAGUCGAGCGAACGGACGAGAAGCUUGCUUCUCUGAUGUUAGCGGCGGACGGGUGAGUAACACGUGGAUAACCUACCUAUAAGACUGGGAUAACUUCGGGAAACCGGAGCUAAUACCGGAUAAUAUUUUGAACCGCAUGGUUCAAAAGUGAAAGACGGUCUUGCUGUCACUUAUAGAUGGAUCCGCGCUGCAUUAGCUAGUUGGUAAGGUAACGGCUUACCAAGGCAACGAUGCAUAGCCGACCUGAGAGGGUGAUCGGCCACACUGGAACUGAGACACGGUCCAGACUCCUACGGGAGGCAGCAGUAGGGAAUCUUCCGCAAUGGGCGAAAGCCUGACGGAGCAACGCCGCGUGAGUGAUGAAGGUCUUCGGAUCGUAAAACUCUGUUAUUAGGGAAGAACAUAUGUGUAAGUAACUGUGCACAUCUUGACGGUACCUAAUCAGAAAGCCACGGCUAACUACGUGCCAGCAGCCGCGGUAAUACGUAGGUGGCAAGCGUUAUCCGGAAUUAUUGGGCGUAAAGCGCGCGUAGGCGGUUUUUUAAGUCUGAUGUGAAAGCCCACGGCUCAACCGUGGAGGGUCAUUGGAAACUGGAAAACUUGAGUGCAGAAGAGGAAAGUGGAAUUCCAUGUGUAGCGGUGAAAUGCGCAGAGAUAUGGAGGAACACCAGUGGCGAAGGCGACUUUCUGGUCUGUAACUGACGCUGAUGUGCGAAAGCGUGGGGAUCAAACAGGAUUAGAUACCCUGGUAGUCCACGCCGUAAACGAUGAGUGCUAAGUGUUAGGGGGUUUCCGCCCCUUAGUGCUGCAGCUAACGCAUAAGCACUCCGCCUGG